AUACGGAGGGUGCAAACGUUGUUCGGAAUUACUGGGCGUAAAGCGCGCGUAGGCGGUUUGUUAAGUCAGAUGUGAAAGUCCACAGCUCAACUGUGGAAGUGCAUUUGAAACUGGCAGACUUGAGUACUGGAGGGGGUGGUGGAAUUCCCGGUGUAGAGGUGAAAUUCGUAGAUAUCGGGAGGAAUACCGGUGGCGAAGGCGACCACCUGGCCAGAUACUGACGCUGAGGUGCGAAAGCGUGGGGAGCAAACGGGAUUAGAAACCCUUGUAGUCC
This 274-nucleotide ribosomal RNA is filed under the name uncultured bacterium. Its description in RNAcentral is "partial 16S ribosomal RNA". It matches the Rfam family "Bacterial small subunit ribosomal RNA", at positions 523 to 796 of the family's 1533-position model. The record is from RNAcentral.